GACGAACGCUGGCGGCGUGCUUAACACAUGCAAGUCGAACGGUGAAGCUCCAGCUUGCUGGAGUGGAUCAGUGGCGAACGGGUGAGUAACACGUGAGCAACCUGCCCCUGACUCUGGAAUAAGCGCUGGAAACGGCGUCUAAUACUGGAUACGAGAAGGGUCCGCAUGGGCACUUUCUGGAAAGUUUUUCGGUUGGGGAUGGGCUCGCGGCCUAUCAGCUUGUUGGUGAGGUAAUGGCUCACCAAGGCGACGACGGGUAGCCGGCCUGAGAGGGCGACCGGACACACUGGGACUGAGACACGGCCCAGACUCCUACGGGAGGCAGCAGUGGGGAAUAUUGCACAAUGGGCGAAAGCCUGAUGCAGCGACGCCGCGUGAGGGAUGACGGCCUUCGGGUUGUAAACCUCUUUCAGCAGGGAAGAAGCGAAAGUGACGGUACCUGCAGAAGAAGCACCGGCUAACUACGUG
This 468-nucleotide ribosomal RNA is filed under the name uncultured bacterium. RNAcentral's name for it is "partial 16S ribosomal RNA". It matches the Rfam family "Bacterial small subunit ribosomal RNA", at positions 28 to 507 of the family's 1533-position model. The record is from RNAcentral.